This 163-nucleotide ribosomal RNA is filed under the name uncultured bacterium. RNAcentral describes it as "partial 16S rRNA". It matches the Rfam family "Bacterial small subunit ribosomal RNA", at positions 355 to 511 of the family's 1533-position model. The record is from RNAcentral.
UAGGGAAUCUUCCACAAUGGGCGAAGCCUGAUGGAGCAACGCCGCGUGUGUGAUGAAGGCUUUCGGGUCGUAAAGCACUGUUGUAUGGGAAGAACAGCUAGAAUAGGAAAUGAUUUUAGUUUGACGGUACCAUACCAGAAAGGGACGGCUAAAUACGUGCCAG